RNAcentral lists this ribosomal RNA (119 nucleotides) under Aegilops tauschii subsp. strangulata. The record is from RNAcentral. Lineage: Eukaryota; Viridiplantae; Streptophyta; Magnoliopsida; Poales; Poaceae.
GGAUGCGAUCAUACCAGCACUAAAGCACCGGAUCCCAUCGGAACUCUGAAGUUAAGCGUGCUUGGGCGAGAGUAGUACUAGGAUGGGUGACCUCCUGGGAAGUCCUUGUGUUGCAUUUC